UGUAGGAAGGAAAGACGCUAUGAGGUGGAUGACUUGGCUCGAGAGCCGAAGAAGGUCGCGGCAAGCGGCGAAACGUCCGGUGUAGGCGCAGGCAGCCUGUGAUCCCGGAAUGACCGAAUGCGGCUUCGCAUCAGACCAUCUCAAAUGGUAGGGAACGCGGGGAAGUGAAACGUCUCAGUACCCGCAGGAGAAGAAAUCAAUCGAGAUUCCGUCAGUAACAGCGAGCGAACGCGGAACAAGGCAAACUGAAUUCCGCAGGGCAACUUGCGGAAGAUGUGGUGUUGCAGACUGUCUUUUAAUCCUUUUUGGGAAUCCUAAGUCCCCUGGAACGGGGUGCCGCAGAGUGUGAAAGCCACGUGGGAAAAACUGAGAAGGGUGUGACAGGAUCUAGAGUACCAGCCGCCGGAUACCGGUUGGGAACUGGGGGGCAUCAACCUCCAACCUUAAAUACUCCUCGAGUCCGAUAGCAAACGAGUAGCGCGAGCGAAAGUUGAAAAGAACCCCUAACGGGAAGUUCAAAGAGCCUGAAACCUCAUAGCCAUCGUGUGUUGCUGCCCUUCGGGGUUGCAACGUGCGUUCCGAAUAACGUGCCAGGGAGUUUAUCUUAGUGGCGAGGCGCAAGCCAGAGCGAAAGCGAUAAUCCGCAGUUCACGAGGGAAAGGGUAUGAAAGUGCCCGAUAGUCACUAGGAUAUGACCCGAAGCCGGGCGAUCUAACCCUAAACAGGAUGAAGCGGGGGUAAAACCCCGUGGAGGUCCGCAGAGGUGCUAGGUGCAACUGCUCUUCUGAUUUGGGGCUAGGGGUAAAAAGCCAAUCGAGCCCGGGAAUAGCUGGUUCCUACCGAUAUUGGCCGUAGUCAAGUGCUGGCAGAGGCAGUGCGAGCGGUAGAGCGACGGAUUGGGGGCUUAGGGCGGGAGACCGCUCGGUCCCUUGACCAACUCCAAAAACUCUCACGCCGUGGAAGCUGGUAAACGGGAGCGCGGGGUAACCUUGCGUUCCGUGAGGGGAACAACCCACACUACAGUUAAGGUCCCAAAAUACCGUUUUAAGUGCGAAAGGGUGAAGGGUGUCCACCGUCGAAGACAGCGAGGAGGUUGGCUUAGAAGCAGCCACCCUUUAAAAAGUGCGUAACAGCUUACUUGUCAAGAUGAUGGGCCCUGAAAAUGGACGGGGCUAAAUCGGUUACCGAUACUGUGGAACAACGUAUGGUAGGUAGGUGUCUUGCAUGGGCAGAAGCGCUUUCAAAAGAAAGCGUGGACCGUGUAGGAAUAAAAAUCCUGGCGAUAGUAAGAACGGAGUACUGUGAGAAUCAGUACCACCGAAAGGGCAAGGGUUUCUUGACAAUGAAAAUCAGUCAAGAGGUAGUCGGCGCUAACCAAGCUCUUAACCGAGCAAUGGGAAAGAGAAAACGGUUAAUAUUCCGUUACUCUUCCUGUAUGUGCGGCGACGCAAGCCUUGUUUCCGACGUUUCCGGCUACGCGGGCGGUACCUGUCUGUACCGUGAAUCUCCAUAACUCAGGGGAGUAUCGUAAUGAUGAGAUCCUGAGCAAAGGAGAGACCAGUGCCUCUUUGAGGCAUCCCGCCGAGGCCAGGAGCCCUUGAAAAGGGAACAGGGAAAAACCGGGAAGAGCCGUACCCAGAACCAGCACUGGUGCCCCUAGGUGAGUAGCCUAAGGUGUAUAAGGGAUAAACUAGUCAAGGGAACUCGGCAUAUUGGCCCUGUGACUUCGGCAUAAAGGGUCCCUGUUUUCGUCGCAAGGCGAUGGCAGGGUUCAAACACCAAGGAGGUCCGACUGUUUAACAAAAACAAAACUGACUGCGAGCGCGCAAGCGUGUGUAUAGUCAGUGACACCUGCCCAGUGCGCGUAAUUCAAACUCCUUUUCAAGGGAGCUAAGAUCGCGUAAACGGCGGGGGUAACUAUAACUCUCUUAAGGUGAUACGUUGCCUUAAGACCCGAGACGUUAAACAUUCGAUGAGAUGAAGACGGGAUGAACAAUCUGACUAUAUGCUGGAACAACUCGAGCAUCUUGUGAUAGGAUAUCAUUUCAGCGAUGAGAUGACGACCCCUGAAAAUUCACAAGUGGAGUCCAUCAGCAGGAAAGACUUCUUUCUAAAGAAGAAUCCUCAGAGACUGCAUGUCAGACACGUAAAACGUGAAGAUACAGUCCGAACCGUGCAGCGAUGCAUGGAAGCAGCAGAAAUGACUGCUCGCCAUCUGUCGAUGGUUGUAACAGCAAUGAGCGUAAUACCUUGCCGUUUGAUUGACGGCUUGCAUGAAUGGUGUAACGAGAUCUCCACUGUCCCUGACUAGAUCCUUCCGAACAAUUUUACUGGUGCAAAGACCAGCGAUUUCCAGUGGGAAGCGAAGACCCCGUGAAACUUUACUGUAGCCUGUUGUUGCGAUGUGAAUCGCGUUGCAGAGCGUAGGUGGGAGAUGUCAAAGCUUAGGUUCCGGCUUAAGUGUAAUCGACCUUGUAACACCACCCUUCGUAGUUUGCAUUGCUUACUUCGCAAGAAGGACACCGAUAGGCAGACAGUUCGGCUGGGGUGGCACCCCGACGAAAAGAUAUCGUCGGGGCCCAAUGGUGAGCUCACCUGGGUCGGAAAUCCAGGGUAGAGUGCAAAGGCAAAAGCUCGCCUGACUGGGUUGAUACCAAGAUUCAACCCAGCAUAGAAAUAUUGGCUUAGCGAACCUCUAUGUCCUCCUUGAUGGGGGCUAGAGAUGACCGAAAAGUUACUCCGGGGAUAACAGAGUUGUCGCGCCCGAGAGCUCCUAUCGACGGCGCGGCUUGCUACAUCGAUGUCGGCUCUUCCUAUCCUGGGCGUGCAGAAGCGUCCAAGGGUGGGGGUGUUCACCCAUUAAAAGGGAUCGUGAGCUGGGUUCAGAACGCUGCGAGGCAGUUUGUUUGAUAUCUACUGGAAAUGCUUGGUGUCUGCGAGGAAGGAGCCUCUAGUACGAGAGGAACGGGGCUUCGAAGCCUCUGGUGUAUCAGCUGUCUGACAAGGCACGCUGAGCAGCUACGCUUUAAGGGAUAAGUGCUGAACGCAUCUAAGCACGAAGCCCACCUCUAAAAGAGACACCGUAGAACUCCCCUACAACAGGGGUUUGAUGGAACUGGCGUGUACGCACCAAGGCAACGAGGUGUUCAGCGUGCAGUCCCCAAUCGUUCGUACCUUAACCUA
Molecule: ribosomal RNA, 3183 nt
Filed under: Candidatus Woesearchaeota archaeon
Lineage: Archaea; Nanobdellati; Candidatus Woesearchaeota
Description: 23S ribosomal RNA
Rfam family: Archaeal large subunit ribosomal RNA
Source: RNAcentral